AGAAAAUGCUCACCCAGAAGCGGCGCUCCAAGUGGGUGGGGACUUUAAUGCAGGCAAACUUAAAUCAGUUUUACCACAUUUUUACCUGUGCAACCAGAGGGAAAGAAAUCCUAGACCAGCUUUACUCCACACACAGAGAUGCAUACAAAGCUCCCCCCGCCCCUCUAUUUGGCAAAUCUGACCAUAAUUCUAUCCUCCUGAUUCCUGCUUAGAAGCAAAAACUAAAGCAGGAAGUACCAGUGACUCGCCCAAUAUUGAAGUGGUCAGAUGACAUGGAUGGUACAUUACAGGACUGUUUUGCUAGCACAGACUGGAAUAUGUUCCGGUAUUUAUCCAAUGGCAUUGAGGAGUACACCACCUCAGUCAUUGGCUUCAUCAAUAAGUGCUCAGUCAUUGGCUUCAUCAAUAAGUGCAUUGUCGACGUUGUCCCCACAGUUACCAUAUGUACAUAUCCCAACCAAAAGUCAUGGAUUACAGGCAACGUCCGCAUCGAGUUAAAGGCUAGAGCUGCCGCUUUCAACCAGCGGGAGACUAAUCCGGAUGUUUAUAAGAAAUCCCGCUAUGCCCUCCGACGAACCAUCAAACAAGCAAAGUGUCAAUACAGGUUUAAGAUUGAAUCGUACUACACUGGCUCUGACGAUCGUUGGAUGUUGCAGGGCUUGAAAACUAUUACGGACUACAAAGGGAAACCCAGACACGAGCUGCCCAGUGAAGUGAGUCUACCAGAUGAGCUAAAUGCCUUUUUAUACUCGCUUCGAGGCAAACAACACUGAAGCAUGCAUGAGAGCACCAGCUGUACUGGAUGACUGUGUGAUAACACUCUCGGUAGCCGAUGUGAACAAAACCUUUAAACAGGUCAAGAUUCACAAAGCCGCUGGGCCAGAUGGAUUACCAGGACGUGUACUCAAAGCAUGCGCGGACCAACUGUCAAGUGUCUUCACUGACAUUUUCAACCUCUCGCUGACCAAGUCUGUAAUAGCAACAUGUUUCAAGCAGACCACCAUAGUUCCUGUGCCCAAGGAAGCGAAGGUAACCUGCCUAAAUGAUUACCGCCCGUAGCACUCAGGUUGGUAGCCAUGAAGUGCUUUGAAAGGCUGGUCAUGGCUCACAUCAACAGCAUCCAAUUCGUAUACUGCCCCAACAGAUCCACAGACGAUGCAAUCUCAAUCGCACUCCACACUGCCCUUUCCCACCUGGACAAAAGGAACACCGAUGUGAGAUUGCUGUUCAUUGACUACAGCUCAGCGUUCAACACUCAUAGUGCCCUCAAAGCUCAUCACUAAGCUAAGGACUCUGGGACUAAACACCUCCCUCUGCAACAGGAUCCUGGACUUCCUGACGGGCCGCCCCCAGGUGGUAAGGGUAGGCAACAACACGUCUGCAACGCUGAUCCUUAACACUGGGGCCCUUCAGGGAUGUGUACUUAGUCCCCCCCUGUACUCCCUGUUCACCCACGACUGCGUGGCCAAACACGAUUCCAACACCAUCAUUAAGUUUUCAGACGACAACGAUGAGCCAGCCAAUAGGGAAGAGGUCAGAGAACUGGCAGUGUGGUGCCAGGACAACAUCCUCUCCCUCAAUGUGAGCAAGACAAAGUAGCUGAUCUUGAACUUCAGGAAAAGGCAUGCCGAAUAGGCCCCCAUUAACAUGGGCUGUAGUGGAGCGGGUCGAGAGUUUCAAGUUCUUUCGUGUCCACAUCACCAACGAACUAUCAUGGUCCAAACACACCAAGACAGUUGUGUAGAAGGCACAACAAAACCUUUUCCACCUCAGGAGACUGAAAAGAUUUGGCAUUGGUCCCCGAUCCUCAAAAGGUUCUACAGCUGCACCAUCGAGAGCAUCCUGACUGGUUGCAUCACCACCUGGUAUGGAAUCUGCUCGGCAUCUGACCGUUAGGCGCUACAGAGGGUAGUGCGUACGGUCCAGUACAUCACUGGAGCCAAACUUCCUGCCAACCAGGACCUAUAUUUUAUUUUAUUUCACCUUUAUUCAACCAGGUAAGCUAGUUGAGAACAAGUUCUCAUUUGCAACUGCGACCUGGCCAAGAUAAAGCAUAGCAGUUCCACACAUACAAAUAUAAUAGGCGGUGUCAGAGGAAAGUGCAUAAAAUUGUCAGAGACUCUAGUCAUCCAGGUUAGACUGUUUUCUCUGCUGCCGCACGGCAAACGGUACCGGAGCACCAAGUCUUGGACCAAAAGGCUCCUCAACAGCUUACCCCCAUGAUAUAAUACUGCCAAACAAUUAAUAACCCCCCCCCGGUACCCCCUGUAUAUAGCCUCAUUAUUCUUGUGUUACUAUUUUAUUUUUUACUUGUCUAUUUGGUAAAUAUGUCCUCGCCAUUUUCUUAACUCUUGAACUGCACUGUUGGUUAAGGGUUUGUAAGUAAGCAUUUCACGGUAAGGUCUACACUUGUAUUCGGCGCAUGUGACAUAUACAGUUUGAUUUGAUUCUAUGGCCAGUUGUCCUGUGAAACAGACCUGGACCGCUAUCUGGAGUCUCAACUCCCUGUGGCGCUUGUAUAACAGAGAUGCCCAUAGUCAUCAACACAAUGGGCUGGGUCAAAGGUUACGCCAUAUUCUUGGCAACCUGGGGAAAAAACAGCUACAUUUGUCCCAAGCUGCCAUGUUCAUGUUUCACCCAAUCCUCAAAAAAGGAGGGAAAGCAAGCACACAUGUCAACAAAUAACUAAUGCAUAGUAAUAAUGCGUAGUAAUAAUGCAUAGUAAUAAUGCGUAGUAAUUAAUAUUUUUUUGUUGUUGAAUUCUUCAUACUGACCUGUUGACAUGUGUCUGCCUCUUCAGGUUUUGGCUUUCAGUUGCUGGUGGACAUCAUUUGCCUCUGCUCCGUCUCUCACGUGGUGCAGCUCAGUAGUGGGGAUAAAGUCAUGUGCCCCCAACUCACCCCUGAGUUCCUGAGGUCAUCACAUGGCUGGCAGACACACCCUCCUGCCCAGUCAGCCCUGGGGGAGGACAACUCUGAAUCCCAUCCUCUCCAGUGGAGAUCCUCUAUUUAGUAUUCACCCACGUUUGAAGGAGUGGGGCGCCCGGGCGAAAUGAGACACCACUGUAGCAAUGAGCAGCGUGACCUGGCUCUGCUGGGCUACUUCAGCCAGCUGCAGUCCCCUGAACCAGGCUCCGUACCAGCACUGGUGGGGGUUGUGAUGCACUGUGAGGUAGCACCAGCUCAUGUGCUCUACGCUGCCAAUGCCUGUGGUGAGGCUGUGCUUUCUGAAUGAGAAGGUAUCAGGCAGGGGAGGCCCAGUUCUACUCUCUCAAACCCCUGUCUGUCCCUGCGUGGGAUUUGGUAAGUAUAUAUAGGUCUAUGCCCAUUACCCAUACACAUGUUAAAAAGGAAGCUGGUGGGAGGAGCCAUAGGACUGGCUCAUUGUAAUGGCUGAAAUGGAAUUGUUUUAUUCCAUUCCAGCCAUUACAAUGAGCCCAUCCUCCUAUAACUUCUCCCACCAGCCUCCUCUGACAUGCUAGUCUGUCACUAUUCCGUGUGGACAACUGUCAUCUAUCUAGCCGAGAACAGUAAUAAAGUUCGGCAUCUCCCCAUCAUGGAUGAAUAACUCUUCGAAUGGAUGGUGUGAUGGAGGGAUAACAAAGCUCUAAGGUGUGGGUAAUCUAUUAAAUUGCAUUUCUUUCUGGGAGAAUCUUAAUUGCAUACUCCCCGUGUCCUCGCCUCCUUCUCAAUACCCAUUGGAUGAGAAAUCCAGAGGUCCUUCUCCUCCAAUGGGUUUUGAGGAGGAGGCGAGGAGUAUGCAAUUGAGGAUCUCCCUCUGUUCUCAGCAGGUGUCCUUUGGGGGUGUGGACAUGGCACGUGGCCUGUACACCUGUAGCUCCCUCAGUCCUCCGUCAGGUCAACAGUCUUCUGCUGGGUGCUGUCACACUGCCCAACAUCCUCUUCACAGGACAGGAAUUGUGGGAGAGCCUCCCUACGUCACAAUAGACUACAACUUUGAGCUAACCGGGGCUGGGAAGAUUCACGUCUUCAAGGGGCUUGCAAGACCUGACCAGAUGAAUAACGCAAAGUGAUUGUUUUUGUGAGAAGAGACAAUGGUUUCACAGCAAGAAAUCUGAAAUCUGAAUAUUUUUUACCUUCCUUGUUUACUGACUUCAAACACCAAGGCCAGAGUCAAGGCCGUUGAAUGUACAGAUGUACAGAACAUAAAGUUCCGGAGAUAGGACUGUGGAGUUGAGUGACUUAAAGCGGCAGGGUAGCCUAGUGGUUAGAGCGUUGGACUAGUAACCGAAAGGUUGCAAGUUCGAAUCCCCGAGCUGACAAGGUACAAAUCUGUCGUUCUGCCCCUGAACAGGCAGUUAACCCACUGUUCCUAGGCCGUCAUUGAAAAUAAGAAUUUCUUCUUAACUGACUUGCCUAGUAAACUAAAAUAAAAAUACGCUCCAGAUCACUCUUCUCAAGACUGCCAUAGCUAUGAUGGCCACCUUCUUGUAUGGGUCAAUUGGGUUGACCUUGGUCUUCAAUCACCAGAAUCGGAUUGGCCAGUGAUAUUCAUUAGUUCAGGAUGACUGUUUCAAAGUGUUUCUAUCACAUGGACAAUAUCUAGACAUGCAGUUAAAUGUCUGCAUCUGAAAUAGCACCAUAUGACCUAGUGCACACACAAGUAGUGCACCAUAUAGGGAAUAUGGUGCCAUUUCGGACACAAGCUAGGUUUCCAUCCAAUUGGCGACAGAUUCCAUCAAACUGACUUAUUGUGGAUAUAGAGGCUAGGCUGUGCGUGAUGAUCAGUGGUGAUUUUUGCAGAUAAAUCUUGGUGGGGCACACUCUGAAAAAUGUUUUUAGAUGCAUACCAGCAAAUCCACUACACUAAACAAUACAUUAAUUGCAUUAUAACGGUGACAAAUGGUGCCCACAAACUGACCUACUUAAAGCUGUCCUGACAGCAGAGCUUUCUUUUCAGCACCAUGGAGCGAGCUAGGAUGGACAUAGUCAAUAUAACUAUUUGUUCAGCACUUUUGAAAUGUACAGCGUCAGAAUUCAGAACAUGGGCCUUUCUUACAGUAUUCUCCCUGUACUCCAAGUCAGAACCGUAGGAUAAAUAUAGGGGACAUUUAAGCAGACAAUGAAAGCUCUUACAAUAUUUGAUGAUUACAUUUCUCUAAAACAGGCUAUAGGCUACAUGUGCACCUCCAAGUCAGAACAGUAGGCUAAGUUAUGAGGGGGAAAGGGAACAAAUUAUUUGGGUGAAGCGCAUGCACUACUAACAGCUUACUACACAACAUACACUUAGUAUUACUUUCUUAGCUACAGUAUACAUAUCUCCCUGGCAUAUUACAUAAUUUAUGCAGCAGCAUACAAUACAUUUUUGGACUCACAUUGUGCUCUGCUAACAUGAACAGGAAGGUGGUGUGACGAUCCUUGUGGGCAAGGAUCUAUAUAUAUAUAUAGCCUGUUUCACAUGUUAUUUUGGCAUUAAUACGUGUCACAUGUCAGUUUGCAAACAAUCAACAACAAAAAAAUCCUUAAGUUAAUAAAGUCGCAUACCACGUUUGUAUCUUUUGAUGCUACAUAAAAUCAGAGAAUGCCAGACUAUAUAGUACAUGUCAAAAGUUUGAACAACACAUUCAAGGGUUUUUCUUUAUUUUUACUAUUUUCUACAAUGUAGAAUAAUAGUGAAGACAUUGAAACUAUGAAAUAAGACCUAUGAAAUCAUGUAGUAACCAAAGUAGCCACAGUUUGCCUUGAUGACCGCUUUCCACACUCUUUUCCAACAAAUACUUUGUUUUGAAAAACUGUUGCAGGUCAAUGUGUCAAUAAGUUAUGAAUCCAUAUAGCACCCAUCCCCCCAGUUAAAGUGAUGAUAUACAAUAUGAGUACUUUCUACAUGUUUGGUUUGUCCAAAAAUAAUAUUUGGCCAAACUACAGGUUCAUUAUUUACAAGUGAUAUUAAUUAAUUGUCCGGACUAGGACAUGAAAGUGCUUGUAGGGGUCUUUGCUGACAAUGAAAAGCAUUAAAAGAAAAUGGAAUGUAACUUGCUCAACAAUCCAUCUCUCGAGCUAUUGUAUAGCACCUAUUGAUAUAUUCCAGAGCAAAUAAAUAUAAGCUCUACACAGCAAUGCGUCCAGUUUCUGGUAUAUAUUUUGUUUUUGGUCAAUAAAAAAAAAAUCACUGAAUAGUAGUGCACCAUGGAUUGUUAGACAGUAUUCCAUCCACGUUUCUUUUUUAAAGCAAGUAAUGGCUGUUGAUGUUUCAAUAAACAUCUCUAUGUUGCAUUUAUUUCUUAGAGUACUGGAUUACUGCACAUUGAUUUACCUAUUUAGGAAUCUGACCUUGUAACAAAAUGUGAACUAUGUCAUUGAUUUAUGAAUGGUACGAUUAAGGAGAUCAGUCUAUCUUCCAGAAUUGAAAUGAGACUUACAACCACAUUAAGAACUCCAGGGAAGGAUUGUUACCAAUACUCUAUUCUCUCUUUUUCCAUCUGUCUUUCUCUCUUUCCCUUGCUUUCUCUUAUCGCUCCUGUUUCAUCAGGAGUUGUUUGGCAGAAGUUGGAAAUGGGCCUAAAUAAAACAAUUUCAGGUC
Molecule: long non-coding RNA, 6540 nt
Organism: Oncorhynchus tshawytscha (Chinook salmon)
Lineage: Eukaryota; Metazoa; Chordata; Actinopteri; Salmoniformes; Salmonidae
Source: Ensembl